This 6858-nucleotide long non-coding RNA is filed under the name Daucus carota (carrot). RNAcentral's name for it is "long non-coding RNA (DCAR_LNC002010)". Lineage: Eukaryota; Viridiplantae; Streptophyta; Magnoliopsida; Apiales; Apiaceae. The record is from RNAcentral.
UCCGGAAUAUUCAAAUUAGGCUAAAGGUGAGUUUUGUUGAAACUUCCGGGAAGAAAAUUUGCUACCUCGUUACGAGUGGACGGUUUUACGGAAGUCAAAUAAUUAAUAAAUAAAUAUAAAUAUACGCAAUUAAAUCCGUAAAUCGAUUAUAAAAUCAUCUAACAUUCCAUAAAUCGAUAUGAAAAUAUCCAAAUAAACUAUAUUUUCUCCUGAGCAUAUAGAAAUUGAAAUCUCUCAAAUACGAACACAUAUGAGCAGUUAACGCAAUAAACCAGAUAAUAUAAAAUUCACAAAAAUUCAUAUAUUAAUCAUAUAAUACUCAUAAUUAACCAUGAUUAAUUAGCCAACAAAUCCACCAAUAUCACUUACUCACAUCACACAUAUAUUCACAUAAUAAUCAUCUAGAAUUUUCAAAACAAUAUAUGAAAAUCAGUUUUGAAAAUACAAUAACACAAUAACCCGGGGUUUAAAUAUAAACCUUUGAAAACUCAUUAAACUGGAAUAAAAUAUUAAAUCUUAUUCCUUUCUUUUAAAGAAAAUCAUUUAUACUAUUAAUAAAAAUAUUUUUAAAAAUCCGGGUUAUUACAAUCUACCCUCCUUAUAGGGAUUUCGUCCUCGGAAUCAGAGAAAGAAAGAGGAUGCAUAAUCUGUAAAAUCCAUACUAAUCCACAACACAAGUAUAAUCACAUACAACUAUUCACAUAAUCAUAUCAAUAUUCAACUAGAGCCAACAAUAAUAUCUAGACAAAUAGAUUUAUAAUAAUCAAAUCUAAAUUUAAUAAUAUGGGAUAUUACAUUCUACCCCCCUUAUAAGGAUUCCGUCCUCGGAAUCCUCCGAAGAAACUAAAAUGUACACACUUCGUAAUAUCAUAUCGUCAUCCACCUUUGAUUGAUCUUGGCAUACCUUUAACUUUAAUGGAAAAGGAAAAUCAAACUUUCGCGAUUGCAACAUUCAUUUCCCAAGAAUCGAUCCUUGGGAAUUUUCGAAUAGAAUAAGAUGUUUUCAAAAUAGGUGACAUUGGAAUACAAGAGUGACUGGGAGAUCAAUACGAUCAAAUGAACUUAAUGUUGCGUGUCCAUAUUAGACACUACUAAAGGUUGUUAACCUUCUUGUAAUCACAACACACACAAGUGAUGGCGUCCCAUCCAACUCCUAUCACACAGACAGGUAUACCUUGUGUCCCCUAUACAUAGGGUUGUUCAUCCCAAUCAGAUGGAAAGAAUCCAAGAAAUCUCAAGGAGCAUCAAGGAAUGUUAAGGAUUAUCGAGGCAUAUAUUAAGGAACAUCAAAAAGAUAUCAACGAAUAUCAAAGAAUGUCAAAGAAUAUCAACGAAUAUUAAGGGAUAUCAAAGAAUAUGAAAUAAUAUCAAGGGAUAUCAAAGAAUAUCAAAUAAUAUCAAGGAAUUCCACUGUCUCUUCAUAAACACGCCUUUAUCAUACACCGAUUCAAUACUAACUCACACCCAUAAUCAAUAUCAAUGUCAUCCUAGAAUUUGGGAAAUCGAAGAACUCAUUUAUCGAAACUUUGGUAGAAAGGAUAUCAUGAUAAUAUCUCAUUGAUGAGAAAACAAUCAAAAGAAUCUUUAGUUGAAGAGAGGUAUUGCCAAGGUCUUCUCAAAUUCCCACUCUGCUUUACGAAAUCGUUAUUCGAUUUAUGUCAUCCUUUCAACGUUCUUCAUAAUCAAUCGAUUUGACUCGUAAUAGCCUCGUAAGAUGUCAUCGUAGACGUUAUCGUCCGUAAUAACUCUGGCCCAUGUAGUUUACAUUCUUCUACUUUAUCCCAGUUGCCUUUGAAAUCCAUAGCACAAACACGUAACGUAUCUUCGAUUGUCUGGAUCAUCAACCUGUGGGUUAUGGGCCCACCUUGAUGCCAUUUGAAAUCCCGAUUAGCUCGAAGCGUUGUCGUCGAGGACUAACGUUCUAACUUACUCGUAGACAUCAUCUCUAAUAACUGGACUCAAUUCCACGUACUCUCUAUCAUUCACUUCUCACCUAUCAACCUCUAUCUACCAAUCUCUCCUUCUAAUCCAAUACAACUCAUACUCUACACUUACUCUUCAUAUCUUCACUCAAAACAAUAUACAUCUUCCAAAUAUCUGACAUGGUCAACAUACUAUGAACCAUGCAUUUAUAUCAUCCUCAAAUCAAUACAAUAAUCCAAUUUCAAAUAUGCAGUAUAGUCAGAAUACUCUGAACUCUGCAUUUUCACCAUUCUCAACUCAAUCAUUCACUAUCAAACUCUUCUAUAUAGGUCUAAUACUGACCUUUUCCACAAUUCACCAUCUCAAUUAAUCAACAUACUAGAAAUCAUAUGUCUAAACUUAAGAAUCCUAAUCUCUUUAAAUAUCCACACUUAACUUGAUCAUCUAACUAGACUCUAUGCUUCACUCACAUCUCUAGACUAUGUCUAAAUAGUCUCACAAUACCUCGAUACGAGGUCACACAACGUCUAACCUAUAUAAAACUUAAAACUAUAAUCUAUAUUCAAAUUCCAAUAACUUGUAACCUGUUGCUCUGAUACCAACUGUGACAGUCCGGGAAUCCGGGGGUCUGGAUUCUGACGUCACCACAUAAAACCCAUUUUUAAACACUUUUGAAAACCUGUAUUUUUUUUUUUUAAAGAUAAUGAAUCCAAAUAAUUUAAAACUUGAAAACAUUUAAUAAAAGAUUUGAAAGACGUUAAAUAAAAGAUUUAAAAGAGAACAUCUUCACCCCCAAAACAACAGGAUCGCUUCCAGGUUACAGUAUUGAAAUUAGAAUCAACCACUAUUAUUACACAACAUCUCUUACCAAAUCAGAUCAUCUUCGAUAAGAAGAAUCACUGUCAACUAUUCCAGCUAUGACUUACACUUGAAUCCUUAUAGCACAGCUCUAGCUUGCAUCAACCUCAUCAACUUUCCUGAACACUCCUCGACCACUGGAUCCUCAACUCUGUCUCCUCGCCUAGCAUUAGCCUUAUUCACAAUCUCAAUCAAUCAUCUCAUCUUUAAGCCUUUCUGAAAUGGUUAGAAAGGAAUAGCAAGGGUGAGCAACAAUGCUCAGCAAGUAAUAAUAAACAAUGAUAGUUCUGAAAUGAUAUAACAGAAGUUCACGAGUUCAAGAUAUAAGAGGAUUCAACCUGAGUUCAUGAGUUCAUGGUAUUGUAUAGAAUGAUUUACAAUACCUUGCAGCAUUUAAACUGAGAAAUUCAAUCUUUCCAAAGAAUUAUUGAAUUGGACUAUCACAUUUUAAUUAAAACCAAGGUUAGGCAGCUGAUCAGUUCCGCACUAACCCCGAGCAGGCCCCGCCAUGCUCUAUCACUGGAUCCAAGGCACUCAUUGGCCUAACAUGACCACGAAUCUGGUCCACAGGUUUAUAUAAAAACAAUAAUCCAAUUCUCUAAUUCAAUUCAAGAAGCCAAUGUAAAUUAACAGAACAUCAUCAUAAAUAUCAUCAACAACAGAAUAAUUCCAAUUCAAACUUUGAUAAUAAUCUAUUCAUAAAUCAUGAUCCAUCAUUUCAUAAAUCACAGUUCAGGAAAUCCUCAACUAUUCAGUAUCCUCCAUUAUCGGCUAAGCAACUGAAUUUAGCCUGCUAAACCAGCAUGACAAUGGCGGGUUGAAUAAUCAAGAAGAUCCCAAUUCAUUCAAAGCUCUAACUAUCACUGAGCAACACAUGCUUCAAUGACAAUCUGAACUUCGAAUUAAUUUGUAAAACGGAAAUUCUUUAGAAACUUGAAGAUUAGAAAGAAUGGGUCAGAAUACUCGCACUUUCGAACAUUGAAAAGAAAGGUAUGAAUACUUGAAACAUAUACCAAAGGAAUGGAUCAGAAUAUUUGCAAUAUAUCCAAGAGAAAGGUUUAGGAUACUUGCCUUAAAUCUGACUCCAGUCUCACAUCUCAAUCUCAUCUUUCCACUUUCACAAUCUAUGCAUCUCAUAGUCUCUAGACCAUCUCUGGCUAUACUCUAUCUACCGUACAUCUUCGCUUCGCUUACUCGAUUCAUCCCUUAUUCGCUUUGUAACACCACGUGACUUUCUGAACGUCUUCGGGCAUACACGUCUCGUCCAAAUCCUUUACGAGAAUAAGAUAACACUAUAAUCACUAAACAAUCGAUCGCAUAUACAUCUCACGUAUAUCAAUACCCACUUAUAUAUCCCUUUAAACUUAUCAGAUACCACGUAACACAUAAGCAUGCUUUAACUCUAACAUAUAGUCAAUCAUAUUCCACAUAACAUAUCACCAAUCAAUUAUCAUAUAAAUCCUUAUCGAAAAUCCGACAUCGUCUCGUCUAUGUAUAAGACUAUCCACCUAUUAUCCUAUCUCAAUCAUUAAUCAACCAACAAAAUCCAAUAGCUAUAAUCCAUAUAUUCUUAUCCAAUAUCAAUCAUACGAAUCAUUUAUCACUUCACAAUAUCAAAACUAACACGUACUUCACAUAAUCAUCACCUGAUAGCACUUAGAUCACAUAUUAUCACAUUAUGCAUACUUAUCAACAAUUAUUCACCUUAUAGACUCAGCCAUAUAGUCACAUCAUAUUAAAAUAGACGUUAUAAGCUUCUGUCUCUCUUUCGUUUCACUUGAUUCCGACUUACGGAUCAAAAGUUAUGCUCAAAACAGUUUUCUCACUCUCCUAUCGGCACAUAACACAUCCAACCAAUAGCAGACAACACACAACACAUAAGGUUUCCCAUCCCAAUUGAUAUUAAAUCAAGUCUUGGGUUAAAAAUGAUUUUUCGGGAAUUUUCCAGAAUUUUUAAACAUUUUUCGGAAUUAAAAUCGAUAAAAGAAUCACUUUUCGAAUAAAUAAUCAAGUCCCAAAUACUUGAAAUUGGACUUGAAAUCAUUCAUAAACAAUUAUCGAGCCUUGAAAAUAAUUUGGAAAAAUAUUUUAAAGCUCGAAACUAUUUUUCGGAAUUUUUAAAUCAAAAAGGAUUAAUUAAAUCCAAUUAAUUAAUCAAUUAAAAUCAAUUAAUAAUUAAUUAAAAUAAUUAAUCAAUUAAUAUUUAAAUUAAUUGACCAAUUAAAAUAAUUAAUUACUAAUUAAAAUUAAUUAAUAAACUAAUUUAGAUUUAUUUUUGAAUAAAGAAAUAAUUAAAAACUAUUUUUGGAAUUUAAAAUAAUUAAAUAAAACAAUUUUAGAAAAUUAAAUCAAAAGGUUUAUUUUGUAAACUUUUGAAAGUUUUGUCCAGGGUUUAAAGUGCAACUUUUCAAAGUUACAGGGGGUAAUUCAUAAGUUUCAGAACCUGAGUACAAAAACUUCAUCAUCUUCAAAACUUCGGUGACCAAACAGCAAUAAGCCGCCGGCCACCACACUAACUCGCCGGAAAUUCAUUUCCAGGCGUCCUCCACUCACCAUCUACUCCAGAUCAGUAGUACACACACCCAUAAAUCAAUCCCCCAUCUUUAAUUAGGCAGAAGUCGCGCGAAUUCGCCGGAAAAUCCGGCCGAAGUCGGCGACUUCCCGCCGCCGAUGGCGGCGAUUCGAGCCACCUCCGCUCAAACCAAGCACACCAGCAUACUCCCCUUUCUCUCCUCUUUCUAUUCAUAUAUACCACUACUGCCCAGAUUUAGCGGAACCCAUUUUCCGGCCAAAAUUCAAACUUUUCCGGCAACAAGCUCAAGAACACCAAGAACACAAUUUCAAUAAUCAAACUGACUUUUCUACAUGUUAUUGAACUCCGUUUUUGACAUAUAAUAUACCAAAACGACGAGAAAAACAUGCUCUACAUCAUAGAAUCAUCAAAUCACAUAAACGGAAUCGUUUGCAAAAAUUCAUCAUUUAAAUCAUAUAAACUCGAAUUUUAGAAAAAUAAUCUAAAAUCACCUGUUGAAUCUGCAUAUAAACGGAUGAUUAAACUUGAUUCUACGCGUCGAUAGCUUCGUUUUGACUAUUUAUACGCCUCCAUCGGAUUCCAAUAACACCUUCAAAUCUUCGUUUGAUUAUGAAGAACACGAAGAACACCGCUCGGUUUCUCUCGAUAUUCGUGCAGAGAAACUGUUGAAAUGAUUUCUACGGUGAAAAUAAGUUACAGGAAAGUCUAUUUAUAUUUACAAAUAAUUGGUACCCCUUUGGAUCGUUUAUGACAUGAAAAUACGUAUUUAAUAGCUUUAUAUUAAUAAAGCGGGGUCCAAUCGGUACCGGUUUUCGAGAUAAUCAUCAAAACGGGGCUUUUUAACUCAAUUAUUGGUCUGCGGGUCCCAUUGCAAUUAUUACAAGAUAAGGAUGAAUAUAAUAAUCAAAAUAUCUCGUUUCACGCUUAUCGAGACAAACUGGAUAAUUAUCAACAAUUAAAAUACCCGAAAAACUCCGCCGGACCGACUCCGGGGAAAACCGUACUCCGGAUCGAAAAAGUCAAAACACGAAAAAUGUCCGGAAUAUUCAAAUUAGGCUAAAGGUGAGUUUUGUUGAAACUUCCGGGAAGAAAAUUUGCUACCUCGUUACGAGUGGACGGUUUUACGGAAGUCAAAUAAUUAAUAAAUAAAUAUAAAUAUACGCAAUUAAAUCCGUAAAUCGAUUAUAAAAUCAUCUAACAUUCCAUAAAUCCAUAUGAAAAUAUCCAAAUAAACUAUAUUUUCUCCUGAGCAUAUAGAAAUUGAAAUCUCUCAAAUACGAACACAUAUGAGCAGUUAACGCAAUAAACCAGAUAAUAUAAAAUUCACAAAAAUUCAUAUAUUAAUCAUAUAAUACUCAUAAUUAACCAUAAUUAAUUAGCCAACAAAUCCACCAAUAUCACUUACUCACAUCACACAUAUAUUCACAUAAUAAUCAUCUAGAAUUUUCAAAACAAUAUAUGAAAAUCAGUUUUGAAAAUACAAUAACACAAUAACCCGGGGUUUAAAUAUAAACCUUUGAAAACUCAUUAAACUGGAAUAAAAU